GGGUUGUGAGGUUAAGCGACUAAGCGUACACGGUGGAUGCCCUGGCAGUCAGAGGCGAUGAAGGACGUGCUAAUCUGCGAUAAGCGUCGGUGAGGUGAUAUGAACCGUUAUAACCGGCGAUUUCCGAAUGGGGAAACCCAGUGUGUUUCGACACACUAUCAUUAACUGAAUCCAUAGGUUAAUGAGGCGAACCGGGGGAACUGAAACAUCUAAGUACCCCGAGGAAAAGAAAUCAACCGAGAUUCCCCCAGUAGCGGCGAGCGAACGGGGAGGAGCCCAGAGC
This 283-nucleotide ribosomal RNA is filed under the name Escherichia coli. RNAcentral describes it as "partial 23S ribosomal RNA". It matches the Rfam family "Bacterial large subunit ribosomal RNA", at positions 1 to 275 of the family's 2925-position model. Lineage: Bacteria; Pseudomonadati; Pseudomonadota; Gammaproteobacteria; Enterobacterales; Enterobacteriaceae. The record is from RNAcentral.